RNAcentral lists this ribosomal RNA (468 nucleotides) under uncultured bacterium. RNAcentral describes it as "partial 16S ribosomal RNA". It matches the Rfam family "Bacterial small subunit ribosomal RNA", at positions 28 to 507 of the family's 1533-position model. The record is from RNAcentral.
GACGAACGCUGGCGGCGUGCUUAACACAUGCAAGUCGAACGGAAAGGCCCUGCUUUUGUGGGGUGCUCGAGUGGCGAACGGGUGAGUAACACGUGAGUAACCUGCCCUGGACUUUGGGAUAACUUCAGGAAACUGGGGCUAAUACCGGAUAGGAGCUCCUGCUGCAUGGUGGGGGUUGGAAAGUUUCGGCGGUUGGGGAUGGACUCGCGGCUUAUCAGCUUGUUGGUGGGGUAGUGGCUUACCAAGGCUUUGACGGGUAGCCGGCCUGAGAGGGUGACCGGCCACAUUGGGACUGAGAUACGGCCCAGACUCCUACGGGAGGCAGCAGUGGGGAUUAUUGCACAAUGGGCGGAAGCCUGAUGCAGCAACGCCGCGUGCGGUAUGACGGCCUUCGUGUUGUAAACCGCUUUCGCCUGUGACGAAGCGUGAGUGACGGUAAUGGGUAAAGAAGCACCGGCUAACUACGUG